UACGAAGGGGGCUAGCGUUGUUCGGAAUUACUGGGCGUAAAGGGUCAGUAGGCGGCCAACUAAGUCCGACGUGAAAUCCCAAAGCUUAACUUUGGAACUGCGUCGGAUACUGGAUGGCUUGAAUUCGGGAGAGGGAUGCAGAAUUCCAGGUGUAGCGGUGAAAUGCGUAGAUAUCUGGAGGAAUACCGGUGGCGAAGGCGGGUCUCUGGGCAGUAACUGACGCUGAGGAGCGAAAGCGUGGGGAGCAAACGGG
This 253-nucleotide ribosomal RNA is filed under the name uncultured bacterium. Its description in RNAcentral is "partial 16S ribosomal RNA". It matches the Rfam family "Bacterial small subunit ribosomal RNA", at positions 524 to 776 of the family's 1533-position model. The record is from RNAcentral.